GAGCGCCUGCCAGAGGACCCUAGAACCUAAAUGUUAGUGUCGUCUGAGUACUAUAUAAUAGUGAAAACUUUCAACAACGGAUCUCUUGGUUCUGGCAUCGAUGAAGAACGCAGCGAAAUGCGAUAAGUAAUGUGAAUUGCAGAAUUCAGUGAAUCAUCGAAUCUUUGAACGCACAUUGCGCCCCUUGGUAUUCCAGGGGGUAUGCCUGUUCGAGCGUCAUUUCAAACCUCAAGCACUGCUUGGUGUUGGGCGUCUGUCCCGCCUUCGGGCGCGGACUCGCCUCAAAGCGAUUGGCGGCUGGUGCCACGGCCUGGAGUGCAGCAGAAUUGCGCUCCUCGCCCGCGGCCUGGCUCCCAGAAGCGAACCUAUUUCACUUGUUCGACCUCGAAUCAGGUAG
This 397-nucleotide ribosomal RNA is filed under the name uncultured fungus. Its description in RNAcentral is "eukaryotic LSU rRNA". The stretch from base 66 to 219 matches the Rfam family "5.8S ribosomal RNA". The record is from RNAcentral. Lineage: Eukaryota; Fungi.